UACGGAGGGGGCGAGCGUUGUCCGGAAUUAUUGGGCGUAAAGGGCGCGUAGGCGGGCUAAUCAGUCUGGGGUGAAAGUGUGCGGCUCAACCGUAGAAUUGCCUCAGAUACAGUUAGUCUUGAGUUCGGGAGAGGGAAGUGGAAUUCCUGGUGUAGCGGUGAAAUGCGUAGAUAUCAGGAAGAACACCGGUGGCGAAGGCGGCUUUCUGGUCCGAAACUGACGCUGAGGCGCGAAAGUGUGGGUAGCGAACAGG
This 253-nucleotide ribosomal RNA is filed under the name uncultured bacterium. RNAcentral describes it as "partial 16S ribosomal RNA". It matches the Rfam family "Bacterial small subunit ribosomal RNA", at positions 524 to 776 of the family's 1533-position model. The record is from RNAcentral.